GAACCUAAUAAGAGGUCCAGCCUGCCCAGUGACCCUGUUCAACGGCCGCGGUAUCCUAACCGUGCGAAGGUAGCGUAAUCACUUGUUCUUUAAUUGUGGACUAGUAUGAAUGGCACCACGAAGGUUAUACUGUCUCCUUUUUCUAAUCAGUGAAACUAAUCUCCCCGUGAAGAAGCGGGGAUAAGAAUAUAAGACGAGAAGACCCUAUGGAGCUUUAAACAAUAUAGCAAUUGCCAUAUAACCUAAAAUUUUCUGAAUCUUUAAUAUACUAAAGGUGAUAUGACUAUAAGUUUUUGGUUGGGGUGACCGCGGAGCAUAACAUAACCUCCAUGUUGAAAGAAUUUUAAGCCAAGACCCACCCGUCUAAGCAUCAAUUUAUUGACAUCCAUUGACCCAAUAUAUUUGACCAACGAACCAAGUUACCCUAGGGAUAACAGCGCAAUCCACUUCAAGAGCUCCUAUCGACAAGUGGGUUUACGACCUCGAUGUUGGAUCAGGGUAUCCCAGUGGUGCAGCCGCUACUAAAGGUUCGUUUGUUCAACGAUUAAAACCCUACGUGAUCUGAGUUCA
Molecule: ribosomal RNA, 570 nt
Filed under: Capensibufo rosei
Lineage: Eukaryota; Metazoa; Chordata; Amphibia; Anura; Bufonidae
Description: partial 16S ribosomal RNA
Rfam family: Bacterial large subunit ribosomal RNA
Source: RNAcentral